Hibiscus syriacus is the source of this 218-nucleotide small nucleolar RNA. RefSeq annotates it as small nucleolar RNA U3. NCBI's taxonomy places the organism in Eukaryota, Viridiplantae, Streptophyta, Magnoliopsida, Malvales, Malvaceae. The record is from RefSeq and is a predicted model, not a curated record. The transcript has a single exon.
ACGACCUUACUUGAACAGGAUCUGUUCUAUAGGCUCGUACCUCUGUAUCCUUGAGUUCUAAGGAGACAGGAUUCCAAGUCUGGUUGAUGAGCCAGGGCUGCGUGAUCAGAGCGUGAUUAUUGGUCGGUGUUGCUGAAUGUCGGCUAACCUUGACCGCAGAGGAUCGUUCUCGGUUAGCCUCGUCUUCCCGGGAUGGUCGUGCAGCUGUCUGACAGACU